CCUUAAAUUGAACCACUUAGAUUUCCAUCCAGGGAAGGGGGGCCUAGUUUACUAGGUUUUAAUUAUAUUUUGCACGAAAUACCCCUCCCCACGCACACAUACCUGAACACUUGAAAAGCAGUUGAAACAGAACAGAGAUAGGUGGUAGCAUUUUUCUACUAUGGUUAUACUCAUCACACGUUGACUUGCACCCAGACAAUGAGACAGGUUGGCACAACACCACCGGUGUAAUGUACCGUAUCAAAUUACAGACCAUGACAAAAGGUCCAGGAACUCCACAAUACUUCUGAGCUAAUAUUCUGCGGUGCAUCCCAACAAGUAGAUCAUUUGAUGUGUCAAUACUCAGUUCCGAUCAGGCAGAUCUUCAAGCAGUGUGCCCCAGCAGACGUCACAGUUGUGCCCUGGUUAACACCCCCUCACUGUGUGCCAACAAAGCUGUUUGCCAUAUUCAGGAGCUGAAGAGGCAACUGGAGAACUGGUGUCAACAGUCAGGAAAUGUUCAGCAUCAGAUGUCUCAUGAAAAACAGCAAAAUAGCAAAACUUUUAG
Non-coding RNA from Salmo salar (Atlantic salmon), 547 nucleotides. The record is from RefSeq and is a predicted model, not a curated record. Lineage: Eukaryota; Metazoa; Chordata; Actinopteri; Salmoniformes; Salmonidae.